RNAcentral lists this ribosomal RNA (515 nucleotides) under uncultured bacterium. RNAcentral describes it as "partial 16S ribosomal RNA". It matches the Rfam family "Bacterial small subunit ribosomal RNA", at positions 28 to 523 of the family's 1533-position model. The record is from RNAcentral.
GAUGAACGCUGGCGGCGUGCCUAAUACAUGCAAGUCGAGCGAAUGGAUUGAGAGCUUGCUCUUAUGAAGUUAGCGGCGGACGGGUGAGUAACACGUGGGUAACCUGCCCAUAAGACUGGGAUAACUCCGGGAAACCGGGGCUAAUACCGGAUAACAUUUUGAACCGCAUGGGUCGAAAUUGAAAGGCGGCUUCGGCUGGUACUUAUGGAUGGACCCACGUCGCAUUAGCUAGUUGGUGAGGUAACGGCUCACCAAGGCAACGAUGCGUAGCCGACCUGAGAGGGUGAUCGGCCACACUGGGACUGAGACACGGCCCAGACUCCUACGGGAGGCAGCAGUAGGGAAUCUUCCGCAAUGGACGAAAGUCUGACGGAGCAACGCCGCGUGAGUGAUGAAGGCUUUCGGGUCGUAAAACUCUGUUGUUAGGGAAGAACAAGUGCUAGUUGAAUAAGCUGGCACCUUGACGGUACCUAACCAGAAAGCCACGGCUAACUACGUGCCAGCAGCCGCAGUAA